CGUGUAGGCGGUGCUUCAAGUUGGAUGUGAAAUCUCCUGGCCUAACUGGGAGGGGCCAUUCAAAAACUGGGGCACUUGAGGGCAGAAGAGGGAAGUGGAAUUCCCGGUGUAGCGGUGGAAUGCGUAGAUAUCGGGAGGAACACCUGUGGCGAAAGCGGCUUCCUGGGCUGCCCCUGACGCUGAUACGCGAAAGCUAGGGGAGCGAACG
Molecule: ribosomal RNA, 208 nt
Filed under: uncultured bacterium
Lineage: Bacteria
Description: partial 16S ribosomal RNA
Rfam family: Bacterial small subunit ribosomal RNA
Source: RNAcentral